This 250-nucleotide ribosomal RNA is filed under the name uncultured archaeon. Its description in RNAcentral is "partial 16S ribosomal RNA". It matches the Rfam family "Archaeal small subunit ribosomal RNA", at positions 474 to 723 of the family's 1478-position model. The record is from RNAcentral.
CACCAGCGCCUCGAGUGGGGAUCACGAUUAUUGGGUCUAAAGCGUCCGUAGCAGGCUUUGUAAAUGCUUUGUGAAAUCGGCAGGCUUAACCUGUCGGCGUGCAGAGUAGACUGCAGAGCUCGAGACCGGGAGAGGUUAGAAGUAUUCCUAGGGUACCGGUAAAAUGGGUUAAUCCUAGGAGGACUACCUAUGGCGAAGGCAUCUAACCAGAACGGUUCUGACUGUGAGGGACGAAAGCUAGGGGAGCAAA